This 497-nucleotide ribosomal RNA is filed under the name uncultured bacterium. Its description in RNAcentral is "partial 16S ribosomal RNA". It matches the Rfam family "Bacterial small subunit ribosomal RNA", at positions 28 to 507 of the family's 1533-position model. The record is from RNAcentral.
GAUGAACGCUGGCGGCGUGCCUAAUACAUGCAAGUCGAGCGUACGGACGAGAAGCUUGCUUCUCUGAUGUUAGCGGCGGACGGGUGAGUAACCCGUGGAUAACCUACCUAUAAGACUGGGAUAACUUCGGGAAACCGGAGCUAAUACCGGAUAAUAUUUUGAACCGCAUGGUUCAAAAGUGAAAGACGGUCUUGCUGUCACUUAUAGAUGGAUCCGCGCUGCAUUAGCUAGUUGGUAAGGUAACGGCUUACCAAGGCAACGAUGCAUAGCCGACCUGAGAGGGUGAUCGGCCACACUGGAACUGAGACACGGUCCAGACUCCUACGGGAGGCAGCAGUAGGGAAUCUUCCGCAAUGGGCGAAAGCCUGACGGAGCAACGCCGCGUGAGUGAUGAAGGUCUUCGGAUCGUAAAACUCUGUUAUUAGGGAAGAACAUAUGUGUAAGUAACUGUGCACAUCUUGACGGUACCUAAUCAGAAAGCCACGGCUAACUACGUG